GACGAACGCUGUCGGCGUGCUUAACACAUGCAAGUCGAACGGAAAGGCCCUGCUUUUGUGGGGUGCUCGAGUGGCGAACGGGUGAGUAACACGUGAGUAACCUGCCCUUGACUUUGGGAUAACUUCAGGAAACUGGGGCUAAUACCGGAUAGGAGCUCCUGCUGCAUGGUGGGGGUUGGAAAGUUUCGGCGGUUGGGGAUGGACUCGCGGCUUAUCAGCUUGUUGGUGGGGUAGUGGCUUACCAAGGCUUUGACGGGUAGCCGGCCUGAGAGGGUGACCGGCCACAUUGGGACUGAGAUACGGCCCAGACUCCUACGGGAGGCAGCAGUGGGGAAUAUUGCACAAUGGGCGGAAGCCUGAUGCAGCAACGCCGCGUGCGGGAUGACGGCCUUCGGGUUGUAAACCGCUUUCGCCUGUGACGAAGCGUGAGUGACGGUAAUGGGUAAAGAAGCACCGGCUAACUACGUGCCAGCAGCCGCGAUGAUACGUAGGGUGCGAGCGUUGUCCGGAUUUAUUGGGCGUAAAGGGCUCGUAGGUGGUUGAUCGCGUCGGAAGUGUAAUCUUGGGGCUUAACCCUGAGCGUGCUUUCGAUACGGGUUGACUUGAGGAAGGUAGGGGAGAAUGGAAUUCCUGGUGGAGCGGUGGAAUGCGCAGAUAUCAGGAGGAACACCAGUGGCGAAGGCGGUUCUCUGGGCCUUUCCUGACGCUGAGGAGCGAAAGCGUGGGGAGCGAACAGGCUUAGAUACCCUGGUAGUCCACGCUGUAAACGGUGGGUACUAGGUGUGGGGUCCAUUCCACGGGUUCCGUGCCGUAGCUAACGCUUUAAGUACCCCGCCUGGGGAGUACGGCCGCAAGGCUAAAACUCAAAGGAAUUGACGGGGCCCCGCACAAGCGGCGGAGCAUGCGGAUUAAUUCGAUGCAACGCGUAGAACCUUACCUGGGUUUGACAUGGAUCGGGAGUGCUCAGAGAUGGGUGUGCCUCUUUUGGGGUCGGUUCACAGGUGGUGCAUGGCUGUCGUCAGCUCGUGUCGUGAGAUGUUGGGUUAAGUCCCGCAACGAGCGCAACCCUUGUUCACUGUUGCCAGCACGUUAUGGUGGGGACUCAGUGGAGACCGCCGGGGUCAACUCGGAGGAAGGUGGGGAUGACGUCAAGUCAUCAUGCCCCUUAUGUCCAGGGCUUCACGCAUGCUACAAUGGCUGGUACAGAGAGUGGCGAGCCUGUGAGGGUGAGCGAAUCUCGGAAAGCCGGUCUCAGUUCGGAUUGGGGUCUGCAACUCGACCUCAUGAAGUCGGAAUCGCUAGUAAUCGCAGAUCAGCAACGCUGCGGUGAAUACGUUCCCGGG
Molecule: ribosomal RNA, 1343 nt
Filed under: uncultured bacterium
Lineage: Bacteria
Description: 16S ribosomal RNA
Rfam family: Bacterial small subunit ribosomal RNA
Source: RNAcentral